RNAcentral lists this ribosomal RNA (544 nucleotides) under Pichia pseudolambica. Its description in RNAcentral is "eukaryotic LSU rRNA". It matches the Rfam family "Eukaryotic large subunit ribosomal RNA", at positions 62 to 632 of the family's 3401-position model. The record is from RNAcentral. Lineage: Eukaryota; Fungi; Ascomycota; Pichiomycetes; Pichiales; Pichiaceae.
AAACCAACAGGGAUUGCCCCAGUAGCGGCGAGUGAAGCGGCAAGAGCUCAGAUUUGGAAUCGUGUUUCGGCACGAGUUGUAAAUUGCAGGUUGGAGUCUUUGUGGAAGCGUGUGUCCAAGUCCCUUGGAACAGGGCGCCAUUGAGGGUGAGAGCCCCGUGGGAUGCGCGCGGAAGCAACAAGGCCCUUCUGACGAGUCGAGUUGUUUGGGAAUGCAGCUCUAAGCGGGUGGUAAAUUCCAUCUAAGGCUAAAUACUGGCGAGAGACCGAUAGCGAACAAGUACUGUGAAGGAAAGAUGAAAAGCACUUUGAAAAGAGAGUGAAACAGCACGUGAAAUUGUUGAAAGGGAAGGGUAUUGGGCCCGACAUGGGGAUUGCGCAUCUCUGCUCCUUGUGGGCGGGGCGCUGUGCUUUUCCUGGGCCAGCAUCGGUUUUUGCCGCAGGAGAAGGGGUACUGGAAUGUGGCUCCUCGGAGUGUUAUAGCCAGUGCCAGAUGCUGCCGUGCGGGGACCGAGGGCUGCGACAUCUGUCUCGGAUGCUGGCAC